This 77-nucleotide transfer RNA is filed under the name Hathewaya proteolytica DSM 3090. Its description in RNAcentral is "tRNA_Arg_TCG". It matches the Rfam family "tRNA". From Rfam's summary of the family: Transfer RNA (tRNA) molecules are approximately 80 nucleotides in length. Their secondary structure includes four short double-helical elements and three loops (D, anti-codon, and T loops). Lineage: Bacteria; Bacillati; Bacillota; Clostridia; Eubacteriales; Clostridiaceae. The record is from RNAcentral.
GCACCCAUAGCUCAGUUGGAUAGAGUUACGGACUUCGAAUCCGGAGGUGGCAGGUUCGACCCCUGUUGGGUGCACCA